This 679-nucleotide ribosomal RNA is filed under the name Neosetophoma poaceicola. RNAcentral's name for it is "SSU rRNA". It matches the Rfam family "Eukaryotic small subunit ribosomal RNA", at positions 420 to 1105 of the family's 1831-position model. The record is from RNAcentral. Lineage: Eukaryota; Fungi; Ascomycota; Dothideomycetes; Pleosporales; Phaeosphaeriaceae.
GGAAGGCAGCAGGCGCGCAAAUUACCCAAUCCCGACACGGGGAGGUAGUGACAAUAAAUACUGAUACAGGGCUCUUUUGGGUCUUGUAAUUGGAAUGAGUACAAUUUAAACCUCUUAACGAGGAACAAUUGGAGGGCAAGUCUGGUGCCAGCAGCCGCGGUAAUUCCAGCUCCAAUAGCGUAUAUUAAAGUUGUUGCAGUUAAAAAGCUCGUAGUUGAAACUUGGGUCUGGCUGGCAGGUCCGCCUCACCGCGUGUACUUGUCCGGCCGGGCCUUCCUUCUGGAGAACCUCAUGCCCUUCACUGGGCGUGUUGGGGACCAGGACUUUUACUUUGAAAAAAUUAGAGUGUUCAAAGCAGGCCUUUGCUCGAAUACGUUAGCAUGGAAUAAUAGAAUAGGACGUGCGGUCCUAUUUUGUUGGUUUCUAGGACCGCCGUAAUGAUUAAUAGGGACAGUCGGGGGCAUCAGUAUUCAAUUGUCAGAGGCGAAAUUCUUGGAUUUAUUGAAGACUAACUACUGCGAAAGCAUUUGCCAAGGAUGUUUUCAUUAAUCAGUGAACGAAAGUUAGGGGAUCGAAGACGAUCAGAUACCGUCGUAGUCUUAACCGUAAACUAUGCCGACUAGGGAUCGGGCGAUGUUCUUUUUCUGACUCGCUCGGCACCUUACGAGAAAUCAAAGUU